This 1493-nucleotide ribosomal RNA is filed under the name Escherichia coli. RNAcentral describes it as "bacterial SSU rRNA". It matches the Rfam family "Bacterial small subunit ribosomal RNA". The record is from RNAcentral. Lineage: Bacteria; Pseudomonadati; Pseudomonadota; Gammaproteobacteria; Enterobacterales; Enterobacteriaceae.
UCGAACGGUAACAGGAAGCAGCUUGCUGCUUUGCUGACGAGUGGCGGACGGGUGAGUAAUGUCUGGGAAACUGCCUGAUGGAGGGGGAUAACUACUGGAAACGGUAGCUAAUACCGCAUAACGUCGCAAGACCAAAGAGGGGGACCUUCGGGCCUCUUGCCAUCGGAUGUGCCCAGAUGGGAUUAGCUAGUAGGUGGGGUAAAGGCUCACCUAGGCGACGAUCCCUAGCUGGUCUGAGAGGAUGACCAGCCACACUGGAACUGAGACACGGUCCAGACUCCUACGGGAGGCAGCAGUGGGGAAUAUUGCACAAUGGGCGCAAGCCUGAUGCAGCCAUGCCGCGUGUAUGAAGAAGGCCUUCGGGUUGUAAAGUACUUUCAGCGGGGAGGAAGGGAGUAAAGUUAAUACCUUUGCUCAUUGACGUUACCCGCAGAAGAAGCACCGGCUAACUCCGUGCCAGCAGCCGCGGUAAUACGGAGGGUGCAAGCGUUAAUCGGAAUUACUGGGCGUAAAGCGCACGCAGGCGGUUUGUUAAGUCAGAUGUGAAAUCCCCGGGCUCAACCUGGGAACUGCAUCUGAUACUGGCAAGCUUGAGUCUCGUAGAGGGGGGUAGAAUUCCAGGUGUAGCGGUGAAAUGCGUAGAGAUCUGGAGGAAUACCGGUGGCGAAGGCGGCCCCCUGGACGAAGACUGACGCUCAGGUGCGAAAGCGUGGGGAGCAAACAGGAUUAGAUACCCUGGUAGUCCACGCCGUAAACGAUGUCGACUUGGAGGUUGUGCCCUUGAGGCGUGGCUUCCGGAGCUAACGCGUUAAGUCGACCGCCUGGGGAGUACGGCCGCAAGGUUAAAACUCAAAUGAAUUGACGGGGGCCCGCACAAGCGGUGGAGCAUGUGGUUUAAUUCGAUGCAACGCGAAGAACCUUACCUGGUCUUGACAUCCACGGAAGUUUUCAGAGAUGAGAAUGUGCCUUCGGGAACCGUGAGACAGGUGCUGCAUGGCUGUCGUCAGCUCGUGUUGUGAAAUGUUGGGUUAAGUCCCGCAACGAGCGCAACCCUUAUCCUUUGUUGCCAGCGGUCCGGCCGGGAACUCAAAGGAGACUGCCAGUGAUAAACUGGAGGAAGGUGGGGAUGACGUCAAGUCAUCAUGGCCCUUACGACCAGGGCUACACACGUGCUACAAUGGCGCAUACAAAGAGAAGCGACCUCGCGAGAGCAAGCGGACCUCAUAAAGUGCGUCGUAGUCCGGAUUGGAGUCUGCAACUCGACUCCAUGAAGUCGGAAUCGCUAGUAAUCGUGGAUCAGAAUGCCACGGUGAAUACGUUCCCGGGCCUUGUACACACCGCCCGUCACACCAUGGGAGUGGGUUGCAAAAGAAGUAGGUAGCUUAACCUUCGGGAGGGCGCUUACCACUUUGUGAUUCAUGACUGGGGUGAAGUCGUAACAAGGUAACCGUAGGGGAACCUGCGGUUGGAUCACCUCCUUACCUUAAAGAAGC